Molecule: long non-coding RNA, 2018 nt
Organism: Gallus gallus (chicken)
Lineage: Eukaryota; Metazoa; Chordata; Aves; Galliformes; Phasianidae
Source: Ensembl
UCCCGGCCCUCAAUCCCCGCCGUAACCUUCCCGGCCGUCGCUCUCCCCGCGCUGCCUUUCGGAGCCGUCCGCUUUCUGCCGACGUCGCAACCGGGACCGAACGUCCCCAGCGGUUCUGCCGUCUCAUGCCGUAUUUCCCCGCCCGUCCCGGGCCGGUGGCUGAUUCCCAUCCGCUCCGCGCUCCGGGGGCUGCUGCUUCCCCGCGUCCCGGCGGGCUCUGAGCCAGAGUUGCAGGGCCGGCCGCUAUCUUUAGGUCCGCGUUGCAGCGCGGGGCUGCGCCUUUGGCUCGGCGGUGACCGCCGCCUCGCUGGGGAUUGAUUCACCCGAGGCUUUUGCUGGGGGGAAAUGAAGCGAGCGGCGCUGGGCCGUGGGGGGGCAGCAGGGCCGGUGAUGUGCGCAGGCGGAGGGCAGGGGAUGCUCACAGCCCCUCUGACCUCAGCUUCCCUGCGGGAAGGGGCUGCGUUGAGGCAAGCGAGGUUCUCCCCGGGAGCUCCGCGCAGCCCUCCCAGCCCUGCGGCUCUGAUGAUGGCACUGAUGUGCCCCGCACGCCCUCCUUCUGCACGGUAAUCGGGUUGGCCGUGGGAGUAACUUGCAACCGUGCCAGAGUUUCAGGUGUCACCGGAUUGAGGUUCCCAGCUCUGCUUAAUCCCGUAGCCUCUGCCCCACGCGUGCUGUGGGUCUGCAGCCCCCCCGCGGGGUUCGGAUGGAGGUGUGCAGCCGCUCCCUCUGCCCGCUCCGAUGCGAUCUCCCCGCUCAGCUCUGCAGUCCUUUGCAUUUCACGCUCGGAGCGGGGCACGAUGGGAGCGGAGCGACGGCAAAAAGUUCCUCCGUUCGCUGAGCUGCGUCCCCGGGGCUGUGCUCGAGGGCUUCCCCGCGCUCUGUGCUUUGCUUUGCCUCUCCUUUCAGAGCGGCUCCGGGCCUUCUUGAGAGGGUUUGACAGCGCCGAGCCGCAAAGUGCCGCCUCAUCCGCAGCAGCGGCGCUGUCUGCAGUGCAGCGUCUCGUGGCCCCAUCGCUGGGGGGGUGAGCGAGAGGCAGCCGCCCCGUGGGUGGAGUUGGAGCGUUCAUCGCACGUGUAACGGAGGUUCUGCUCUUCGUUUGCAGCCGUACCCCGGGGAGGAGAGUAGCGGCGUGCUGGUAGUCCUUCUGCUGGAGUACAGCGUCCGUGCUUUGGUGCAGGGCAGCGUUUUGGCUCCGUUCUUUGGGCAGAGGCUCAGAGCUGCGGCAGCUGAAGGUUGGGGUCGGUUUGCGUUUGGCUUUGGCUGGCGAGGCUGAGUCGGGCGGGUGCUGCGGGCACUGCUGAGCCGGGAGCAGCGCGGGGCCGUGGGGACGGCUGCUCUGUGGCAGUCGGGGUGUUGCACCAUUUGACCGUCGGGGCCGUCACCCCGGGUGGGCUCUGUGGGGUCUGCAUGAAGUGGGCUGCGUGCUCCUUUCCACUAGAGGCUGCUGAUGGACAGAGGAUCAGUGUUCCCUGGCUGUGGAUGAGCGAUGGGGUCUGGCGUUCUCAGGGCUGUCCCGCCUGUCUGCUCUCCCGUCAGCCCACAGUAACUCUCUGCACUCUGUUAGGUCUCCAUUAGCGGAUAUAAAGGGGCACUGUGCUGGGGCACUGUGCUGGGGCACUGAUGGCAGCUCCACCCCUCUUCCCUGGGGCUGCCUGUGGCGUUUUCCCAGCUGCUCAGGGCAGGUGCUGGAUGUACCCCCGUGCUGUGUCCUGGAGGUGUGUGCGCUGCUCGCCCCUCCAGCAGCAAAGCCAGGGAUUGGUUACAGGCUGCAGGGAACGGCUCACUGCAUGGGAGGCGCCCAGCAGGGUGGCUCUGCUUGGGGCAGCGGUUUGGUACCUGGUGCUGAGACAGGUGACUAAGGAACUUGCAUUUCCCUGCAGUUCCUGGGAAAGCCUUGUUGGGGGAGCCAGGAGUGAGGUAAGCACUUGGUAGUCCACUGAGCACGUGGUAAGAUUUGGCAUCCUGGUAAGCAGCACAACGAGGAGGAUGCAGUGAUAGCUUUACUGCUCGCCGGGCAG